RNAcentral lists this ribosomal RNA (395 nucleotides) under uncultured bacterium. RNAcentral's name for it is "bacterial SSU rRNA". It matches the Rfam family "Bacterial small subunit ribosomal RNA", at positions 30 to 430 of the family's 1533-position model. The record is from RNAcentral.
AUUGAACGCUGGCGGCAUGCCUUACACAUGCAAGUCGAACGGCAGCACGGACUUCGGUCUGGUGGCGAGUGGCGAACGGGUGAGUAAUGCAUCGGAACGUACCCGGUAGUGGGGGAUAACUACCCGAAAGGGUGGCUAAUACCGCAUAUACUGUGCGCAGGAAAGCAGGGGACCUUCGGGCCUUGUGCUACCGGAGCGGCCGAUGUCAGAUUAGGUAGUUGGUGGGGUAACGGCCUACCAAGCCUGCGAUCUGUAGCGGGUCUGAGAGGAUGAUCCGCCACACUGGGACUGAGACACGGCCCAGACUCCUACGGGAGGCAGCAGUGGGGAAUUUUGGACAAUGGGCGCAAGCCUGAUCCAGCCAUGCCGCGUGAGUGAAGAAGGCCUGUGUAAGA